AUUCCAGCUCCAAUAGCGUAUAUUAAAGUUGUUGCGGUUAAAAAGCUCGUAGUUGGAUUUCUGUUGAGGAUGACCGGUCCACCCUCCGGGUGAGUAUCUGGCUUGGCCUUCGCAUCUUGCUGGGGAAUGUUGCUGCACUUGAGUGUGUGGUGCAAAAAACCUGCGUUUGUACUUUGAGGAAAUUGGAGUGUUUCAAUCAGGCUCAUGCCUUUGAACACACUAGCAUGGAAUAUUGAUGUGGAGUCUCUGCUUCAUUUUGUCGGUUUCUGGGGUGGAGGUGAGUAUUAGUGGGGAUUGUGGGGGGCAUCUGUAUUCAGCUGUCAGAGGUGAAAUUCUUGGAUUUGUUAAAGACAGACAACUGCGAAAGCAUUUGCCCAAGAUGUUUUCAUUA
RNAcentral lists this ribosomal RNA (391 nucleotides) under Dinophyceae sp. RNAcentral's name for it is "partial small subunit ribosomal RNA". It matches the Rfam family "Eukaryotic small subunit ribosomal RNA", at positions 582 to 975 of the family's 1831-position model. Lineage: Eukaryota; Dinophyceae. The record is from RNAcentral.